This 437-nucleotide ribosomal RNA is filed under the name uncultured bacterium. RNAcentral's name for it is "partial 16S ribosomal RNA". It matches the Rfam family "Bacterial small subunit ribosomal RNA", at positions 29 to 507 of the family's 1533-position model. The record is from RNAcentral.
AGCGAACGCUGGCGGCAGGCUUAACACAUGCAAGUCGAGCGGGCAUCCUUGUGGUGUCAGCGGCAGACGGGUGAGUAACGCGUGGGAACGUGCCCUUCGGUUCGGAAUAACUCAGGGAAACUUGAGCUAAUACCGGAUACGUGCGAGAGCAGAAAGGUUUAUCUGCCGAAGGAUCGGCCCGCGUCUGAUUAGCUAGUUGGUGAGGUUAUGGCUCACCAAGGCGACGAUCAGUAGCUGGUCUGAGAGGAUGAUCAGCCACACUGGGACUGAGACACGGCCCAGACUCCUACGGGAGGCAGCAGUGGGGAAUAUUGGACAAUGGGGGCAAUCCUGAUCCAGCCAUGCCGCGUGAGUGAUGACGGCCUUAGGGUUGUAAAGCUCUUUUCUUCGGGACGAUAAUGACGGUACCGGAGGAAUAAGCCCCGGCUAACUUCGUG